AGUUUGAUCCUGGCUCAGAACGAACGCUGGCGGCAUGCCUAACACAUGCAAGUCGAACGAAGGCUUCGGCCUUAGUGGCGCACGGGUGCGUAACGCGUGGGAAUCUGCCCUUAGGUUCGGAAUAACAGUUAGAAAUGACUGCUAAUACCGGAUGAUGACGUAAGUCCAAAGAUUUAUCGCCUGAGGAUGAGCCCGCGUAGGAUUAGCUAGUUGGUGUGGUAAAGGCGCACCAAGGCGACGAUCCUUAGCUGGUCUGAGAGGAUGAUCAGCCACACUGGGACUGAGACACGGCCCAGACUCCUACGGGAGGCAGCAGUGGGGAAUAUUGGACAAUGGGCGCAAGCCUGAUCCAGCCAUGCCGCGUGAGUGAUGAAGGCCUUAGGGUUGUAAAGCUCUUUCACCGGUGAAGAUAAUGACGGUAACCGGAGAAGAAGCCCCGGCUAACUUCGUGCCAGCAGCCGCGGUAA
Molecule: ribosomal RNA, 467 nt
Filed under: uncultured bacterium
Lineage: Bacteria
Description: bacterial SSU rRNA
Rfam family: Bacterial small subunit ribosomal RNA
Source: RNAcentral